RNAcentral lists this transfer RNA (65 nucleotides) under Dipodomys ordii (Ord's kangaroo rat). It matches the Rfam family "tRNA". From Rfam's summary of the family: Transfer RNA (tRNA) molecules are approximately 80 nucleotides in length. Their secondary structure includes four short double-helical elements and three loops (D, anti-codon, and T loops). The record is from Rfam by way of RNAcentral. Lineage: Eukaryota; Metazoa; Chordata; Mammalia; Rodentia; Heteromyidae.
GGUGGCUCAGUGGCAGAGCACUUGCCUCGCAUGCAAGAGGCCCUGGGUUCGAUUCCUCAGCACCA